Molecule: long non-coding RNA, 2879 nt
Filed under: Salmo salar (Atlantic salmon)
Lineage: Eukaryota; Metazoa; Chordata; Actinopteri; Salmoniformes; Salmonidae
Description: lncRNA (ENSSSAG00000115517.1)
Source: RNAcentral
CACAUAGCUCAGUAUGAAAGAAGUAUGAACAAACAAUUCUCAGAAGCUAUAUGGUGUUUCCUGCCUGUGUGUGUGUGUGUGUGUGUGUGUCUGUUUUUUUGUGAUGGCUUCUCUAUAUAAGUGUAAUUUCUCAGAAGCACUGAGGAGAGGCUGUGACUGCCUUGUAGACAGAUACAGCAUCUUAAAGACGCCAGAAGUUCAUGCAAAGAAGUGGUCAACCCUCCUCCUGGAGAACUACUGUUUUGUAUCCUUUUACACCAGAGGUGUACAACCCUCCUCUUGGAGAACUACUGUUUUGUAUCCUUUUACACCAGAGCUGGGCAGUCCUCUUAGAGAACUACUGGUUUGUAUCCUUUUACACCAGAGCUGGACAACCCUCCUCUUGGAGAACUACUGUUUUUUAGCCUUUUAUACCAGAGGUGGAGAACCCUCCUCCUGGAGAACUACUGUUUUGAAGCCUUUUAUACCAGAGGCGGAGAACCCUCCUCCUGGAGAACUACUGUUUUGAAGCCUUUUACAUCAGAGGUGGAGAACCCUCCUCUUGGAGAGCUACUGUGUAUGCAGGCUUUUGUUCCAGCCCUGCUCCAACACACACUCUACAUUUACAUUUUAACCUAGAACCGAGCUCUGGGAGACAGCAGUAGUGAGAGUACGUGGUGCUGACACAGAUCCUCUCCAUUCCACCUGGUUGGAGCAGUGCAAGAUUGUGCAGAGACUUAGACACCCAGCCCUGAGAGGGUGGAGAGGAGGAUCUGAUGGUCCACAGUGUCAAAUGCAAUAGAUAGAUCUAGGAGGAUGAGAACAGAGGAGUGAAAGAGUCAGCUUUGGCAGAGCGGAGAGCCUCCGUGACACAGAGAAGAGCAGUCUCGGUUGAGUGAACCAUCUUACUUCCAUUUUGAAGUCAGAAGGGGCGCAGCCAGUGGUCAGGGAUGAGUUGAUGAGGGAAGUGAGGAAUGGGAGAAGGUCUCCUGAUAUGGGCUGGAGCGGGUAGGAGGGGAUGGGGUCAGGUGGGCAGGUUGUCGGGUGGCCAGACCACACCAGUCGCAUGAUUUCAUCUGGAGAGUAAGGGGAGAAAGAGGUCAAGGCAUAGGGUAGAUCUGUGUGAGUAGGGCGAGUGGACUCAAUGGGCUGAGUGUAUGAGGAGAGGAUGUAGUUAACCUUUUCAAAGUGGUUGACAAAGUCCUCCUCAGAGAGGAAGGAGGGAGGAGGGGGUGGAGGAAGAAGAUGGAAAAUAGAUUCCUAUGGUGAGAGGCAGAAACUUAACAUUUAGAGUGAAAAAAGUGGCUUUAGCAUCAGAUACAGAGGAAGAGAAGGUAGAGCGGAGGGUGUGAAAGGAUGAUAGGUCCUCCAGAAGUGACGUUUUCCUUCAUUUUUGCUCAGCUGCCCGCAGCCCUGCUCUGUAAGCUCUCAAGGAGUCACUCAGCCACGGAGCAGGAGGGGAGGAAAAUGGACAGUGUACAUCAUAGGAUGCGGAAUGGGAGGAGUGUAGGGUUUAAGAGGCAGAAUCAGGAAACAUGCGGUAGAAGUAUUUUGCAGAAGGGAGAUAUGAUAGGAUAGAAGAGGAGAGGAGAGAGAGAGUGAAGAUUGUGAGCAGUGUAUGACCAUUUGGUUGGGGUUAAGGAUGGAGGAAAGGGAGACAGAAAAGGAAAGAAAGUGGUGAUCAGAGACCUGGAGGGGGUUGCAGUGAGAUUAGUAGGCAAACAGCCUCUAGUAAAGAUGAGGUCAAGCGUAUUGCCUGUCUUGAGAGUGGGACUGGGGAAGGGUGAGGUCAAGUGUAUUGUCUGCCUUGUGAGUGGUCAAAAGAGGGGAAAGAAAGAGUUCAUAGAAAUGAAUGGAAGGCAGACAUCGGGAGGUUGAAGUCACCAAGUACGAAGAGCGUUGGUUUGAAUGAAGAUGGCAAAGAAUGCAGUGUGGACAGUCUUCCUGUUGACCUUUGGUGUUACCACAGGGAUGAAAAAGUUAUAUUCAUUCAAGCGAUACCUCUCCGUCCAUUCUAGCAGCAGGCUACACCGAGAAUGGAACAGCUGGAUAGGGGAAACAGCUCGAGCCGCACCAAAUGGAAUAUAACAUUGCGGAAUGACACAGUUUCAUGUGUACGACAUCUAAAGACCUGCAUCACUAUACUGAGAGCGUUUCAGUUUCUAAAAUGAUGUAUUUGGGUGUUUUUGGAGCGUUGAUCAUGUUUUUUUUUGCUACCUUAUUGCACAACGAGGAUGUGAAUCACUGGUUGGGCAUAUCCAGGCUAUCUGUGCUUACAGUUCAAGUCAGCCCGAAAUAUACAAAGAUUUUAACAAAGCAGUCCGGACCAAUAGGAAAGUCUACACGUCCUCCGUCAAGUUCCACUCCCUGCAUUUCCUGCUGACUGAAGCUAUUCUCCUCCUGAAACAAAAUCCAGACCAACAGGAUUGUUACACCACACACAGAAGAACCAACAAGGAGUUUGCAGGUGAAGUGAACAAGGAAAUCCGUUUUGGCUUAUUUUCCUCCAGCUCUUUGAGAUAAAGACACGUUUUGGCUCAAGUCCUACCCAGUGAUGGAAGAAAAGGAGAAGGUGUGGAUUCCGCCCUGUGAGGUUUUUAAAGUUACUGACGUACUGUGUACAAACGACAAAGCACCAAAACACAGAAUGACCUGGAUUGAAAAAUGGUCGUUCCAGAGGGUGAAAUCAACCCAGCACGUCUGCUUUUCUACAGUCAGUAAAACAUAAUAUGCAGUCUACAGUACACCCCUCCCCAAGCUCCCUCUGCCACAGGGUCGCAACUUUGGUUUUAGACUUGGGGGGACAUAUAUAUACAUAUAUUGUUAUGGGGGUAGAUCAGCUUUAAUGUUGCAGAUAGAUUGUGGCUUCCACCAAUGUAAUUGUCUGCCUCAUUUCCAAC